AGAAAGACAUACACUUCCAAAAACCACACUCUAUAUUUUUUUUUAUUUCUCCUUUCUCGCCCCUGUUCCUUCUUAUUCUACUUCCUCUUCCUCCUUGACGCACCAACUAGUUUCAAAGCCCAUCCUUCUCUCUCCUGCGUAUUCGUAUACAUACAUAUACAUGGCUAUUCAGACAUUUUCGGUUUGGUCCCAGAUUCAAUUACCAGAAGCUAUAUUUUUUUGAAAAAAGAGGAUGGUUGGGAAUGGUGCUAGGAUUUCGAUUCCGGCGGGUGCCAUGAAGACGGUUGAGACCAUCAAAGAGAUCACUGCUGAUAACUACAGUGAGUAUGAGAUUCACGCAAUGCUCCUUAAAUGAAAUAUGAAUCCAAUGACGCUGCUCAACGCCUUCGUCUUCAGGGUUUUGUCCUCCCAUGGAGAUCUGUAUUGAUCUUCAUCCUCAGAUCCACUGAAGCUUUGCAAUGAAAGCUUCUCGCAUUCUCCAGCUUCCCCUUUCGGACUCUUGGGUCAACUUCAAGAUUCUCCGAUGAUUUGAAGUCAUAGAUUCCUUAACAAGGUAUGGGUGUGUUUGGUCUUUGUUGGCUUCGGUUUUCUAGCAGAGUGAAACUCGCACAAGGAAAUCAUGUAUUUUACAUCAGCCUCAUAACUUUUUGGAAGAGAGAAUCAUGGUGUAAAACUAUAUAUUUGUCUUGUUUUUUGUGGCUAAUGGAAUAAUUAGUUCUACUUAAAAA
This is a long non-coding RNA of Raphanus sativus (radish), 728 nucleotides long. RefSeq lists it as uncharacterized. The transcript is spliced from 2 exons. The record is from RefSeq and is a predicted model, not a curated record. Lineage: Eukaryota; Viridiplantae; Streptophyta; Magnoliopsida; Brassicales; Brassicaceae.